GCCUGGUUGGCUCAGUUGGUAGGGCAUGCAACUCUUGACCUCAGGGUUGUGAGUUCAAGCCUCACAUUGGGUG
Molecule: transfer RNA, 73 nt
Filed under: Felis catus (domestic cat)
Lineage: Eukaryota; Metazoa; Chordata; Mammalia; Carnivora; Felidae
Also listed under: 2 other names
Rfam family: tRNA
About the family: Transfer RNA (tRNA) molecules are approximately 80 nucleotides in length. Their secondary structure includes four short double-helical elements and three loops (D, anti-codon, and T loops).
Source: Rfam by way of RNAcentral